AAAUUGAAGAGUUUGAUCAUGGCUCAGAUUGAACGCUGGCGGCAGGCCUAACACAUGCAAGUCGAACGGUAACAGGAAACAGCUUGCUGUUUCGCUGACGAGUGGCGGACGGGUGAGUAAUGUCUGGGAAACUGCCUGAUGGAGGGGGAUAACUACUGGAAACGGUAGCUAAUACCGCAUAACGUCGCAAGACCAAAGAGGGGGACCUUCGGGCCUCUUGCCAUCGGAUGUGCCCAGAUGGGAUUAGCUAGUAGGUGGGGUAACGGCUCACCUAGGCGACGAUCCCUAGCUGGUCUGGAGAGGAUGACCAGCCACACUGGAACUGAGACACGGUCCAGACUCCUACGGGAGGCAGCAGUGGGGAAUAUUGCACAAUGGGCGCAAGCCUGAUGCAGCCAUGCCGCGUGUAUGAAGAAGGCCUUCGGGUUGUAAAGUACUUUCAGCGGGGAGGAAGGGAGUAAAGUUAAUACCUUUGCUCAUUGACGUUACCCGCAGAAGAAGCACCGGCUAACUCCGUGCCAGCAGCCGCGGUAAUACGGAGGGUGCAAGCGUUAAUCGGAAUUACUGGGCGUAAAGCGCACGCAGGCGGUUUGUUAAGUCAGAUGUGAAAUCCCCGGGCUCAACCUGGGAACUGCAUCUGAUACUGGCAAGCUUGAGUCUCGUAGAGGGGGUAGAAUUCCAGUGUAGCGGUGAAAUGCGUAGAGAUCUGGAGGAAUACCGGUGGCGAAGGCGGCCCCCUGGACGAAGACUGACGCUCAGGUGCGAAAGCGUGGGGAGCAAACAGGAUUAGAUACCCUGGUAGUCCACGCCGUAAACGAUGUCGACUUGGAGGUUGUGCCCUUGAGGCGUGGCUUCCGGAGCUAACGCGUUAAGUCGACCGCCUGGGGAGUACGGCCGCAAGGUUAAAACUCAAAUGAAUUGACGGGGCCCGCACAAGCGGUGGAGCAUGUGGUUUAAUUCGAUGCAACGCGAAGAACCUUACCUGGUCUUGACAUCCACAGAACUUUCCAGAGAUGGAUUGGUGCCUUCGGGAACUGUGAGACAGGUGCUGCAUGGCUGUCGUCAGCUCGUGUUGUGAAAUGUUGGGUUAAGUCCCGCAACGAGCGCAACCCUUAUCCUUUGUUGCCAGCGGUCCGGCCGGGAACUCAAAGGAGACUGCCAGUGAUAAACUGGAGGAAGGUGGGGAUGACGUCAAGUCAUCAUGGCCCUCACGACCAGGGCUACACACGUGCUACAAUGGCGCAUACAAAGAGAAGCGACCUCGCGAGAGCAAGCGGACCUCAUAAAGUGCGUCGUAGUCCGGAUUGAGUCUGCAACUCGACUCCAUGAAGUCGGAAUCGCUAGUAAUCGUGGAUCAGAAUGCCACGGUGAAUACGUUCCCGGGCCUUGUACACACCGCCCGUCACACCAUGGGAGUGGGUUGCAAAGAAGUAGGUAGCUUAACCUUCGGGAGGGCGCUUACCACUUUGUGAUUCAUGACUGGGGUGAAGUCGUAACAAGGUAACCGUAGGGGAACCUGCGGUUGGAUCACCUCCUUA
RNAcentral lists this ribosomal RNA (1538 nucleotides) under Escherichia coli. RNAcentral's name for it is "bacterial SSU rRNA". It matches the Rfam family "Bacterial small subunit ribosomal RNA". The record is from RNAcentral. Lineage: Bacteria; Pseudomonadati; Pseudomonadota; Gammaproteobacteria; Enterobacterales; Enterobacteriaceae.